AUGUUUGCUUCAGCAGCAUGUACACUGAAAUUGGAAUGAUAUAGAGAUUAGCAUGGCCUCUGUGCAAGGAUGACAUGCAAAUUCAUGAAGCAUUCCAUAUUUUU
This 104-nucleotide small nuclear RNA is filed under the name Microcebus murinus (gray mouse lemur). Lineage: Eukaryota; Metazoa; Chordata; Mammalia; Primates; Cheirogaleidae. The record is from RNAcentral.